This 440-nucleotide ribosomal RNA is filed under the name uncultured bacterium. RNAcentral's name for it is "partial 16S ribosomal RNA". It matches the Rfam family "Bacterial small subunit ribosomal RNA", at positions 338 to 795 of the family's 1533-position model. The record is from RNAcentral.
CCUACGGGAGGCAGCAGUGGGGAAUAUUGCACAAUGGGGGAAACCCUGAUGCAGCGACGCCGCGUGAGGGAAGAAGGAAUUCGGAAUGUAAAGCUCUAUCAGCAGGGAAGAAAAGGACGGUACCUGAGUAAGAAGCACCGGCUAACUACGUGCCAGCAGCCGCGGUAAUACGUAGGGGGCAAGCGUUAUCCGGAUUGACUGGGUGGAAAGGGAGCGUAGACGGCAGUGCAAGUCUGGAGUGAAAGGCCGGGGCUCAACCACCGGACUGCUCUGGAAACUGUACGGCUGGAGUGCAGGAGAGGUAAGUGGAAUUCCUGGUGUAGCGGUGAAAUGCGUAGAUAUUAGGAGGAACACCAGUGGCGAAGGCGGCUUACUGGACUGUAACUGACGUUGAGGCUCGAAAGCGUGGGGAGCAAACAGGAUUAGAUACCCGGGUAGUC